AUGACCCAAAAUAAAGCCCAAAUUCGUCCAUUUAGCAUGGCCCUAAAGUUUCAGCCCAUCCAUCCCAAAUAACCCUAAACAUUUGCAAACCUAAUCUCUACUCAAAAAAAUCAGCCGCACCCUUCCUUUCUUAUCUUUUUCCUCUUCUACACAAAGAUACAUCUCUCUCCAACCAUGGUCAAAACAACGCACACCUUGUUUUGGAAUUUUUUUUUUUUUUUCAAACCAGAAAGUAUAGGGACAUACAUUGCUUUCACUCUUGAUUUUCAAAUCUUGCCUUUUUUUUCGACCAUCUGACCUGCAAAUCUGUCCAAAAUCUGAACGUUUGGAUUUCAAAUGGAGUUUUGACCAAGAAAUCCCGCCCAAAAUCUUGGAACCCUAGCAAACCCUAAGCUCGUCCUAUAAAUACUAUCGUUUGGUUUCAUUUAGGGCGAAGGCUUGGCUGCUAUUGUCCCUCUCUAAACAUCCAAAAAAAAAAUACUCUCCGUGUCAUACUAUUUUUUUUUCCAAACCGAGAUUCAUUGCACGUUUUCCCUCUACAUAGAUCUUUGUCGACUCCUAGCUGCGGCAAAUAUUUCUUUCAUUUUUUUAAUUGUGUUGCUUUGUUCCUGAGCGAGUUCGGACUACGUCGUAUCUAAGACCCCGCACCCGAGUUCACUGCACCCACAAAAGGAUCAGAAGUUAAGAGAGACAUAUCAAGAUGACACCUAAAUUAUGAAGGAUGGUGAUGUCAAGCUGUUUAUGGAGCGGCAGCCAGUGAUAAAUUCGAAGUGGUCAAGGUGGAGUGUAAAAGUAAUUAAUUCAGUUUUUUAUGGAUGGAAUGUUUCCUCCUCUUUGCUUUUAGGAGUGAUAUCCUCAACACAAAAUAUUACAUUAUUUACUAUUUAUUAAUAUUCAUUAGUGAUUGUCAUUAAUGAUUUCAUUGAAUUUGGAUAGUUGGCUGGAUUAUACAAUAUCAGUUGAUUACAA
Long non-coding RNA from Lycium barbarum (goji berry), 969 nucleotides. RefSeq lists it as uncharacterized. NCBI's taxonomy places the organism in Eukaryota, Viridiplantae, Streptophyta, Magnoliopsida, Solanales, Solanaceae. The record is from RefSeq and is a predicted model, not a curated record. The transcript has 2 exons.